This 447-nucleotide ribosomal RNA is filed under the name uncultured bacterium. RNAcentral describes it as "bacterial SSU rRNA". It matches the Rfam family "Bacterial small subunit ribosomal RNA", at positions 355 to 825 of the family's 1533-position model. The record is from RNAcentral.
UCGGGAAUUUUGGGCAAUGGGCGAAAGCCUGACCCAGCAACGCCGCGUGAAGGAUGAAGUAUUUCGGUAUGUAAACUUCGAAAGAAUAGGAGGAAUAAAUGACGGUACUAUUUAUAAGGUCCGGCUAACUACGUGCCAGCAGCCGCGGUAAUACGUAGGGACCAAGCGUUGUUCGGAUUUACUGGGCGUAAAGGGCGCGUAGGCGGCUCUGUAAGUCACUUGUGAAAUCUCUGAGCUUAACUCAGAACGGCCAAGUGAUACUGCAGAGCUAGAGUGUAGAAGGGGCAAUCGGAAUUCUUGGUGUAGCGGUGAAAUGCGUAGAUAUCAAGAGGAACACCUGAGGUGAAGACGGGUUGCUGGGCUGACACUGACGCUGAGGCGCGAAAGCCAGGGGAGCAAACGGGAUUAGAUACCCAAGUAGUCCCUGAGCGGGCUGGCAAGGCGCAU